Molecule: ribosomal RNA, 520 nt
Filed under: uncultured Archaeospora
Lineage: Eukaryota; Fungi; Glomeromycota; Glomeromycetes; Archaeosporales; Archaeosporaceae
Description: SSU rRNA
Rfam family: Eukaryotic small subunit ribosomal RNA
Source: RNAcentral
AGCAGCCGCGGUAAUUCCAGCUCCAAUAGCGUAUAUUAAAGUUGUUGCAGUUAAAAAGCUCGUAGUUGAAUUUUAGGCCUGGCCGGGCGGUCCGUCUUUGGCGAGUACUGUCCUGUGUCGGGUCUUCCUUCUGGUGAACCUCCAUGUCCUUUAUUGGGUGUGUUGGGGAGCCAGGACCAUUACCUUGAAAAAUUAGAGUGUUUAAAGCGGGCUUUUGCUUGAAUAGAUUAGCAUGGAAUAAUAGAAUAGGACGUUGUGGUUCUAUUUUGUUGGUUUCUAGGACCACCGUAAUGAUUAAUAGGGAUAGUUGGGGGCAUUAGUAUUCAAUUGUCAGAGGUGAAAUUCUUGGAUUUAUUGAAGACUAACUAUUGCGAAAGCAUUUGCCAAGGAUGUUUUCAUUAAUCAAGAACGAAAGUUAGGGGAUCGAAGACGAUCAGAUACCGUCGUAGUCUUAACCAUAAACUAUGCCGACUAGGAAUCGGGCGACGUUAUUUUCAUGACUCGCUCGGCGCCUUAUGGG